RNAcentral lists this ribosomal RNA (69 nucleotides) under Rhodiola integrifolia. Its description in RNAcentral is "partial 26S ribosomal RNA". It matches the Rfam family "Eukaryotic large subunit ribosomal RNA", at positions 1 to 68 of the family's 3401-position model. Lineage: Eukaryota; Viridiplantae; Streptophyta; Magnoliopsida; Saxifragales; Crassulaceae. The record is from RNAcentral.
GMGACCCCAGGUCAGGCGGGACUACCCGCUGAGUUUAAGCAUAUCAAUAAGCGGAGGAAAAGGAAACUA